Molecule: small RNA, 394 nt
Filed under: uncultured Glomus
Lineage: Eukaryota; Fungi; Glomeromycota; Glomeromycetes; Glomerales; Glomeraceae
Description: SSU rRNA
Rfam family: Eukaryotic small subunit ribosomal RNA
Source: RNAcentral
AGCAGCCGCGGUAAUUCCAGCUCCAAUAGCGUAUAUUAAAGUUGUUGCAGUUAAAAAGCUCGUAGUUGAAUUUCGGUGUCAGUAGAUUGGUCGUGCCACUGGUAUGCACUGGUCUUACUGGCUCCUCCUUCCUGAUGAACCGUAAUGCCAUUAAUUUGGUGUUGCGGGGAGACUGGACUGUUACUUUGAAAAAUUGAGUGUUUAAAGCAGGCUAACGCUUGAAUACAUUAGCAUGGAAUAAUGAAAUAGGACGUUCGAUCUUAUUUUGUUGGUUUCUAAGAUUGACGUAAUGGUUAAUAGGGAUAGUUGGGGGCAUUAGUAUUCAAUUGUCAGAGGUGAAAUUCUUGGAUUUAUUGAAGACUAACUACUGCGAAAAGCAUUUGCCAAGGAUGUU